RNAcentral lists this ribosomal RNA (254 nucleotides) under uncultured bacterium. RNAcentral describes it as "partial 16S ribosomal RNA". It matches the Rfam family "Bacterial small subunit ribosomal RNA", at positions 524 to 776 of the family's 1533-position model. The record is from RNAcentral.
UACGUAGGUGGCAAGCGUUGUCCGGAUUUACUGGGCGUAAAGAGCGCGCAGGCGGUCGUUCAAGUCGCGUGUGAAAGCCCCCGGCUCAACUGGGGAGGGUCACGCGAUACUGAUCGACUCGAAGGCAGGAGAGGGUAGUGGAAUUCCCGGUGUAGUGGUGAAAUGCGUAGAUAUCGGGAGGAAAACCAGUGGCGAAGGCGACUACCUGGGCUGUUUCUUGACGCUGAGGCGCGAAAGCUAGGGGAGCAAACGGG